AUAAUGAGCCUGUGUGUUCCCACUGAUGGCCACUCCCGAGAAUUUUGAUGUGUCUAUCGCCCACGAAGGCCUCACAUAUUCCACCGCCUUUCCUGGCCAGCUUGCAUUCAUGUACAAGAAAUUCAGAAGCACAUCCUCGCAAUUAAAGACUUCGUCCACAAUCUCCCUUCCCUGACUUGCUUCCUCACUCCAAUACCUCUCAAA
Molecule: unclassified non-coding RNA, 204 nt
Filed under: Hevea brasiliensis (rubber tree)
Lineage: Eukaryota; Viridiplantae; Streptophyta; Magnoliopsida; Malpighiales; Euphorbiaceae
Source: RNAcentral